Molecule: ribosomal RNA, 484 nt
Filed under: uncultured bacterium
Lineage: Bacteria
Description: partial 16S ribosomal RNA
Rfam family: Bacterial small subunit ribosomal RNA
Source: RNAcentral
AUUGAACGCUGGCGGCAGGCCUAACACAUGCAAGUCGAGCGGAUGAAGGGAGCUUGCUCCUGGAUUCAGCGGCGGACGGGGGAGUAAUGCCUAGGAAUCUGCCUGCUAGUGGGGGAUAACGUCCGGAAACGGGCGCUAAUACCGCCUACGUCCUGAGGGAGAAAGUGGGGGGUCUUCGGACCUCACGCUAUCAGAUGAGCCUAGGUCGGAUUAGCUAGUUGGUGGGGUAAAGGCCUACCCAGGCGACGAUCCGUAACUGGUCUGAGAGGAUGAUCAGUCACACUGGAACUGAGACACGGUCCAGACUCCUACGGGAGGCAGCAGUGGGGAAUUUUGGACAAUGGGCGAAAGCCUGAUCCAGCCAUGCCGCGUGUGUGAAGAAGGUCUUCGGAUUGUAAAGCACUUUAAGUUGGGAGGAAGGGCAGUAAGUUAAUACCGUGCUGUUUUGACGGUACCAACAGAAUAAGCACCGGCUAACUUCGUG